This 2075-nucleotide long non-coding RNA is filed under the name Mytilus galloprovincialis (Mediterranean mussel). The record is from RNAcentral. Lineage: Eukaryota; Metazoa; Mollusca; Bivalvia; Mytilida; Mytilidae.
AAUUAUUUUAAUUUUUUAUAUUUUUGUAAAAGGGUCAAAGUAAAUACUUUGUCAAAAUUUUAUGAAAAUUAAACGAGCCAAAUUAAUUUUAGUGAAAGUGUUGGGUACCACCUUAAGUGAUAAACAACCCAAGAUUCAUUAUUUCUGUGGAUUCAUUUAUUUUCAUGGGUACAGAUUUUCGUGGAUAUUUGAUUUCAUUGUAUUGCCAAUCUCUGCAUUCAACUUAAGCCUAUAGAAAAUUUGUAAUCCGUUGAACAUUUAGAUUCUAAGCUCACUUGUUCCCACGAAACCCCAAAAAAUUAGUAUCUAACAAAUAAUAAUGAAUCCACAGUAUUGCAUCUCUGAAGGGAAAUCUUAAUAAACAUAAAUUGUUAAGUAAAAAAAUGAUGCUUUGAUAUACACAUGCUAUUUGAACAGCUUUACUUAAUUUGCAUCAAUGAAAAUGAAUUUGUAAAAUACUCUUUAAUUUAUUGUAUUUUUAUUAUGUAAUGACCAAGUGCUUUAUAUGUUAUGAAUAUUGAAUUGAUGAAAUGAUAAUGAAAGUGUUAUCUAAGAAAUAUUGCAUUUGUUAUACAAAUAGACUACUUUUAAAAAUACCAUUGAAAAAAUCAUUAUGAUGAUUUGAUUACAGUCAAGGGAAUGAAGUUUUUCCCCCCACUUUUUCUAAACGGAAGAUUGAACUUGGUACUCUUUUGUGUAUGUUUGAUUAUCAUAAUAUAUAAAUUCAUUAGUCUAUUUGCUGAUUAUUGUUUUAUUGCUGUAAUUCAACAAAUUGUUUCCCUUUGUCAAUUGCAGACUGGUUCUUUACUGGACAAAAAUGUAAAGCUCAAUAUAAAGUGAAAAGCAAUUACUGUUAUCAAAAGUUUUUUACUAUAACGGAGACAACUAAAGAUGGAUCUCUUAACUUAGAAUCAACUACAAAAUUGGGCAAACAGACAAUUGAUAUCACUAAAUUACUGACAAUUAAACAUUGUUAACAAUAAGAAAAUAUGACCAAAGCAUGCCAACACAUAGCCAAUAGUACAUGCAAUCUAUGUACAUUGAGCUGUGAUAGAAUAAUGAACUUGCAAUGAUAUUUUUAAAUUCAGUGUAAUUGUUGAUUUUUUUAUGGCAUUUUAUUUGUUUUUUUGUUUGUGUAAUAAUUUUUGAAACAAACAUGUUUUUAAUGAAUUAGUGUGACACAAGGUGUAUGGCUAGAUUGCACAUUGUUUUGGUGAUGAAAAUUUAGUUUUGGUAAAAUUGGGUAAUUUUUAAUAAUUAUAUUAUUGUUUUAAAUUUGUAUAUUGAUAAAUUUCCAUUUUACACUUGUUAAACAUAUCACUAAGUUUUAUUGGUCCUGGGUCCAUCUUUUCAUUAUUUGAUAAAAGUAAACAUUGCACCCUUAUUUCUAUGUGGUUAAGACUAAGAUGGUUGUUUAUAGUAGCUGGUUCUAUUUUUGUUUUUAAUAGAUGUACCGUUCUCUUCUUUUUUACGCUUCAAAUUUAGGUCUGUUUUUGGUAGUUUAUAUAGUAAAGGGAAACCUUGUCAAAUUAAUGAGUUUUAAAAGCUUUAAUAGAACAACAAAGGAUAGAUCUGGGGUAUCCAUUCCAAAACACAAAAUAUCACCAGCCCAGUAGUCAGCACUUUUGUGCUGACAUGAAUUAUCAUUGAUAUGGUUAUAUUUAUAAAUUAACUGUUUACAAAAUUUUGAAUUUUUGAAAUACUAAGGCUUUUAUACCUCAGGCAUAGAUUACCUUAGCUGUAUUUGGCAUAACUUUUAGGAAUUUUGGUCCUCAAUGCUCUUCAACUUCGUACGUUAUUUGGCCUUUUUAACUUUUUUGGAUUCGAGCGUCACUGAUGAGUCUUUUGUAGACGAAACGCGCUUCUGGCGUAUAUACAAAAUUUAGUCCUGGUCUCUAUGAUGAGUUUAUUUAGUACAUGCACAGCAAAAAAAAAACCACACAAAAAAGCAAAGGAACAGUGCUUUUAUUGUUUGUUUUCAUUUUGAGUAAAAGUUUAAUUUACUUUGGAAAAUAUCACCAACGUAUGUCUUCUAACCCUGAUAAAAAGUAAUAAACAGAAAGCAAUAUUUAAAC